Long non-coding RNA from Rosa rugosa (rugosa rose), 544 nucleotides. RefSeq lists it as uncharacterized. The transcript has 4 exons. NCBI's taxonomy places the organism in Eukaryota, Viridiplantae, Streptophyta, Magnoliopsida, Rosales, Rosaceae. The record is from RefSeq and is a predicted model, not a curated record.
CUGAAGAAGAUCUCAAGUCCUUGGCUGCUCAGUCACACAGCGACGACCAAUUCAUCUAUCCUUGGGUUUUUCAGCUAUACUUGAACCAUUGAAUCAACUUUUGUCAUCAGAGGUGAUCAACUUGGUGUUCAAAUUUGCGAUUUAUCGAUUUCCUAAGUUUUAGGCUUUCUUCUUUAGCAUUGUUUUGAUCGUUCAUUUGUCAAGGAGAGUUUCAAAUUGGAUUGGGGUUUGCAGAAAGGUUUCACCGAUUGCUUUUGAGCUUGAACCAGGUAACUAAUAGUUUGGAUCAACUCCAACUACAAUUGGAGCAACUACUUUUUUACAUCAACUCCAACUACAAUUGGAGCAACUACUAAUAGUUUAGAACUAAACCUUUUGUAAAGCUACAACUGAAGCAGCUAAACCUGUUGUACAACUACCAUUUCUGAACCAACCUCAGUAGCAACUUUGUUAACCUAUUUUUCUAACACACUUCGUCACGUUAACCUUUUUGUAUAAAAAAUCUUUCACUCUUUCAAUAGAAUGCAAUAAUUUUCCUUUUGUA